ACGAGUACUGUAGGUAGAGUGAGCUGGUCAUAAUACCUAUUUGUAAUAUCGAACAAGUCACUCAUACUAACUGGAACUAUCAUAAAAUAUAUGUAUGAAGUUGAUAUAAAGUUAA
Molecule: unclassified non-coding RNA, 115 nt
Filed under: soil metagenome
Description: partial internal transcribed spacer 1
Source: RNAcentral